RNAcentral lists this non-coding RNA (28 nucleotides) under Mus musculus (house mouse). The record is from RNAcentral. Lineage: Eukaryota; Metazoa; Chordata; Mammalia; Rodentia; Muridae.
UGCAUUCAGCCUGCUGUCCAAGAAGAGC